AAUGAGGUCUGUCUCGAUGGGGCUUUGUCUGCAGACCCACACCCUUGGAAACGCCUCAUGGAGGAACUGUGUGGUUUGCUUUACUUGCAGAACUAGUGGUUGCCUCUGUGAGGACGAACUACAAGACAUAU
Molecule: small nucleolar RNA, 131 nt
Organism: Echinops telfairi (small Madagascar hedgehog)
Lineage: Eukaryota; Metazoa; Chordata; Mammalia; Afrosoricida; Tenrecidae
Source: Ensembl